AGCUACUGGAAGGUGGCGGAGUUUGUCUCGUUGGUGGUGGACUUGGUCCCGGAGUUGCUGAAGCACAGGGCUCCGCUAAUCUUGGGGCUAAGAGCUCGGUACAUCCUGGAGUUAUGCCGAAGUGAGCAGCCUGUAGAACCCGAGAAGAUCCUCUCCUAUUUGGACAAGAUUCAGUCACCAAACCUCAUCCUGCUGAGAGAGUCGGAUGAGGAGGUGGUAGGGAACUUCGUUGUGUUGAUUCACGAUUUGCUCAAGGAUCCAGAAA
This is a long non-coding RNA of Nematolebias whitei (Rio pearlfish), 265 nucleotides long. RefSeq lists it as uncharacterized. Lineage: Eukaryota; Metazoa; Chordata; Actinopteri; Cyprinodontiformes; Rivulidae. The transcript has 3 exons. The record is from RefSeq and is a predicted model, not a curated record.